UACAGAGGAGCCAAGCGUUGUCCGGAUUGACUGGGCGUAAAGCGCACGCAGGCGGUCGCGCGCGUGGGGUGUGAAAUCUGGCCGCUUAACGGCCAGGCGCCAUCCCAUACGGCGCGACUGGAGUGAUGCAGAGGUCGGUGGAAUUGCCGGUGUAGUGGUGAAAUGCGUAGAGAUCGGGAGGAACACCUGUGGCGAAGGCGGCCCCCUGGGCCGCUCCUGACGCUGAGACGCGAAAGCGCGGGGAGCGAACGGG
This 253-nucleotide ribosomal RNA is filed under the name uncultured bacterium. RNAcentral's name for it is "partial 16S ribosomal RNA". It matches the Rfam family "Bacterial small subunit ribosomal RNA", at positions 524 to 776 of the family's 1533-position model. The record is from RNAcentral.